CCCUUAGAUGUUCUGGGCAGCACGCGCGCUACAAUGGUCUUCGCAAACGGAUGCAUUCUCGAAGGAGAAUGCCAAUCUUGGAAUCUAUGCCUUGUCGGGACAGUUGCUUGCAAUUUUUCGACUCGAACCAGGAAUUCCUUGUAAUCGUGAUUCAUCACAUCACGAUGAAUACGUCCCUGCCCUUUGUACACACCGCCCGUCGCUCCUACCGAUCGAAGAGUUAGGUGAAUUGUUUUGAUCGAUAAGAUUUGACUAUGGUCAACUCUCGUUGUGAAAUUCUGUGAAUCUGACUGUUUAGAGGAAGGAAAAGUCGUAACA
This 318-nucleotide ribosomal RNA is filed under the name uncultured eukaryote. RNAcentral describes it as "partial 18S ribosomal RNA". It matches the Rfam family "Eukaryotic small subunit ribosomal RNA", at positions 1470 to 1796 of the family's 1831-position model. The record is from RNAcentral.